This 256-nucleotide ribosomal RNA is filed under the name uncultured bacterium. RNAcentral describes it as "partial 16S ribosomal RNA". It matches the Rfam family "Bacterial small subunit ribosomal RNA", at positions 524 to 778 of the family's 1533-position model. The record is from RNAcentral.
UACGUAGGGGGCGAGCGUUGUCCGGAGUUACUGGGCGUAAAGGGCAUGCAGGCGGUCGGACGCGUUUCGGGUGACAGCGGGUGGCUUAACUACCCGAGUGGUCGAAAGACGGUUUGACUUGAGGACGCGAGAGGGACACGGAAUUCCGGGUGGAGUGGUGAAAUGCGUAGAGAUCCGGAGGAACACCGAAGGCGAAGGCAGUGUCCUGGCGCGUAACUGACGCUGAGGAGCGAAAGCGAUGGGGAGCGAACGAGGA